Molecule: small RNA, 168 nt
Filed under: Gopherus agassizii (Agassiz's desert tortoise)
Lineage: Eukaryota; Metazoa; Chordata; Testudines; Testudinidae
Description: TUC338 (ENSGAGG00000010661.1)
Source: RNAcentral
UUAACAGCACGGGAAGCUGGCUCUUCUUCUUGCCCAGAGAACGGGUCCUGCCUAAAUUAGCGACAGCUUCCCAACAUACCCUGCCAACAUGCAUCAGCGGGGAGGGACCACCUCUCAGGGUGAGAGGGGGUAGUUUGGUCUCCAUGGCCCAUUUGGUGCUUUGAUCCU